RNAcentral lists this long non-coding RNA (8249 nucleotides) under Homo sapiens (human). RNAcentral describes it as "non-protein coding lnc-SLC12A7-5:18". Lineage: Eukaryota; Metazoa; Chordata; Mammalia; Primates; Hominidae. The record is from RNAcentral.
AUUCCGAUCCGCUGCCCCUGAGAGGUGGGCCUUGGGAGAGGCAGGGCUUGGACGCCCUUCCUCGGGGCAGCGGGGUGCAGGGAGAGUUCUUCUGGCUGUGAGUCCCGGAGUCCCCGACCCUGGCACCCCUUCAGCAAGGUUCUCAGGCACAUCUGCCGGGGGCGCUGAGGGGACCUGAGAUGGACGGGCCGGGAGGGAGGCUGAGGUAAGACCUGAGGCUGAGGUAAGACCUCAGCCUGAGGUAAGACACAGUGCUGGGGCCUCCCUUGAAGCCCGUUUGAAGUGAGGUCCCCACAGCUGUCAGAGGACACGCAGGGUGGGGGCUCCUGGGUGGGAAACAGGUAAACCUCUUGGGCGCCUGGGGCUGGAGGCCUGAGUGGUCCUGAAAAGAACAUUCAGGCCAGGCGCAGUGGCUCACACCUGUAAUCCCAGCACUUUCGGGGGCUGAGGCGGGUGGAUCACAAGGUCAAGAGAUCGAGACCAUCCUGGCCAACAUGGUGAAACCCCGUCUCUACUAAAGACACAAAAGCUAGCUGCAUGUGGUGGCGCACGCCUGUAGUCCCAGCUCCUCUUAGGGAGGCUGAGGCAGGAGAAUCACUUGGACCCAGGAGGCGGAGGUUGCAGUGAGCUGAGAUUGCGCCACUGCACUCCAGCCUGGCGACACAGCGAGACUCUGUCUCAAAAAUAAAUAAAUAAAUAAAUAAAAAGAAAAGAAAAGAACAUUUAGUGAAAGGAGCAAGGAAGAGAAGGCAUUCUGGGCAGACCCCGGCCCCCAGGGCACAGGCGUGCAGUGUUUCCCUUCCAGGGUUUGGUGGACACUUGGAGGGACCAGGUCGGGGUGUGGCCUGGGAGGGGUGGCCAAGGUCCAGGGGUCAGGGUCACUUCGGGGAAGUCCAAGGGGCAGCGCGGAGCCACCGCUGUGGACAUGGGAGGAGCCUACUAGCCAGCAUGGCCCAAAGGAAGGAGGGGCUGAGGGUCAGAGGUCAUGGGAGAGAAGAGGGAGUGGGGCAGACCCUCUCCCAAGGCCAUGGGGUGGGGGAGAAACAGCGCCUUAGGGCCUGUCCUGAUCCUCCUCCAGAGCCUGCUCAGAGUGGGAGCAGCCCCUCCUCCCUUCCCCUCCACCACCCAGGCGCAGGUGCGGCCUCUCCCUGGCCCGGGGACCUGCGUGAGGUCAGCCCUCAAAGCGCUGUCCCUUCUGGCUCACCUGGGCCCAGGGUGAGGCCCGACCCCACGGUGGACCCUGAGUCACUGCAGCUUCUGUGCCCAGCUCAGGAACAGAGCAGCCUUCAAGGCCAGGACUGGGGAGGGGCUCGGCUUUUCCGGCCCUUGGACGCCACUCAACUCUUCCUGCCCGUGUGUUGGCAAAGAACUAGCACGGCCUCUGAAGCACUGAAAAGACAAGGGCUACCUCUUUUCCAGAAGGUCCCAGAGCCCACCAUGAGCAGGCAGUGUUUGGGAAAAGCCCGGGGAGGUGGCAGGGGCUCCGAGGAGCGGGGGAUUCUAAGGGGUUAUAGCUGCGCUGAGCCCCGGGCUCCUCAGAAGCCUCAGAAGGAGAAGGGGGCUCCUUUGGGGGCAUCCUCCCUGCAUCCGGGGUGUUGCAGGGUGACCUCCCGUAGUGCCAGCAGGGGCGGCCCCUCGGUCUGGCCAGAGAAGCCCAGCCACUGUCCCGUAUGGUGGAUGUCAGGCCCAGUGCCGUGUUUCCGAAGGAGGGAAGGGGUGAGAGGCAGCAGCCAGACACCCCGCUGAGCCCGCCCCGACCCUGAGCACGUGGGAGCUGGAGACGGUGUCACACACUCGGCCUGGCUUUGGGACCAUCCCUAGGGCUUCUGUGGGGAGGAGGAAGGAGGAGCAGACGUGGAAGGGCUGCCAGGGCCCCAGCAGAUGGGGUCGGGGGCGGAGGAGAGCCAGGAAAGUGUGGGCGCCUGGGGGAGUCACAGAUGGAGGUCUGGUACCUAGAGCCUGGAGAACGACGGCUCUCGGGACAGAGGGCCUCAGACUCUGGCACACCAGCCGUACCUAUGACAAGCUCCAUGGGGGAAGAACCAGGCACCUGGAUGCAUGGCUGUGAGGCCCCCACCCCACAGGGGCCUCAGAGGCACAGGCUCCAGGCUCCAGCGGGGAGGGCGCUGCAUCCCACCCUGGGAGCAUGGCUAUGAGGCCCCCACCCCACAGGGGACCCAGAGGCACAGGCUCCAGGCUCCAGCGGGAAGGGCCCUGCUCCCCACCCCCAUCCCCCGCCUCAGGCUUCACUGAGAUGGGCCCCGGGGACCCCGGGAGCUUUCUGUGACUGCUCGGCAAUGGGUUCCCCAAGGCCUGGCACAGGCUUUCCUUAGAGCCAGGCUGUGGACCCAAAGCCUUGGGCCAAGUCUCAGGACCAGAUGGGCGGCUCUGGAGAGGACCCCACAGUCCAGGGUGAGGCGCGCCCCGCUGGGGGCAGCGCUGCCUGUGGAGAGGACCCCACAGUCCAGGGUGAGGCGCGCCCCGCUGGGGGCAGCACUGCCCGUGGCCGUCUCCAUCCAUCUCACCCUGACGCAAGGCCGGCUUCCUCUGCGUCCAGUGGUCGGGGCCUUGGAGAGGCCAGCAGGGCCCGUGGGGGUCGCGUUUCUUCCCUGUGGCAUCAGCUCUUUUCCCAGCAGGCCUCUUUGCAGCUGGAUGCAGCAGCCAAGCCCUGGAGUCUUUGGAAAACUGUGGCCUGGCGGGGGCCCAGGCAAUGCCACCUUACAGGGGACACCCACACAGGCGGUCCCGAGGAGGGGUGUGCUGCCGCCCUGAGCUCAGCCAGGCAUCACCGUGGUGUCACCGUCAGCUCGGGUGGCACCUCCCGGGCUGCCCUCUCGGCUGCCACUUCUCAUGAAACUGACAGGGACUGAACACGAAUGAUGUGGCUUAUAGCUGGGUGCCCCCACCCUGACCACAGGUGCCACGCGACGGGAGCCACAUUCUCUUCCUGAUUCUAACUCCACGGGUACAGAGACAGAAGCUGCCAUCUUUAGAAAUAAAACUUUUUUCUAACUACAAAAUAAUACAGUUUAAUAUAGGAAAUGUGGAAAAUGGGGUAUUCGGGGUGGAUAUUGAGAAGAGAGAAGCAACACCAAUUCUAUGUGCGAGACGCUGGCACUUCCCAGCGUAGCCUUGUGUUCCUGACCCUGGGGUGGCCUGAGCGUGGCCUGUGGGGCCCGUGUCCAGGUGCGGAGGGGGCCCUGAGUCGUGCGGGGCAAGUGGUCAGGGCCCCAGGCCCAGGCUGCCUGGAGCGAGAUGACUGGGCCUGGCCCCUGGGGACUUGCUCUGACAAAACCCCCCGGUCCCCACUCCUGAGCCCCUGCAGGAGCAGCCCUGGGAACAUGGGGAGCAGCUCCUUCUGCCUAUGUGCUCCGGACUCAGGAACUCUGGAGAGAAGAAACACAACCCCACAGGCCCCGCCUGCCUCUCCUGCAGUCUUGAGGCCCCAGGGAAAGCCCCCACUGCAGGCAGGGGGUGGGUGCCCGAGCGAGGGUGUGGGGUGAGCAGGGUCCUGGGCAUGUCAGGGCUGCGUGGGACUCCAGCGGGCCGGGUGCCUCUCGCCCUGCAGGACGUGGCUGGCCUGGUCUGCCCCCAGCUGAGCCUCACCUGAGGGAGAGCUGGGGUGGGCCGCCUCGUUUACGACCGUGUAGUCGUCUUUUGCACACAAAGCCAUGUGAGUCCGUACGUGAGUCCUGUGGAAAGACAAGACAUGGAAUAGGAGUGACGUCCGUCCCCAGGCAUGAAGUGGAGAGCAUCACGCUGUGUGAGUUAAACACUGGCCAAGCACGGUGUGAGUCGGAGCCGGGGACCUGGCCAGAUGAGGGCUGCGUGCAGCUUUCACACCCCAGGCACGUGAGCACCGCCAAGCCCAGCCUCAGCCAGCAGCUGCUCUGCAAUGUGGAGUCACCAGUGGCCCCAAGGAUGGCAGGUGGGGGUGGCCUUGGGACUGAAUUAGGCCGACACCCAAGGCCUCUGUUCCUUCCCGUCCCUUCUCUCCCUUCGGAGGAUCAAAUGAGAGUUUCUAGGAAAGAAAACAUGGCCAGGCCCUCCUCCAGCGCCCAGGCAGGGCUCGAGCGGACGCCCGUGUGACCCCCACAUCCCUUCUACCCCUGUAGCUCUCUGACUCUGAUAUCCCAGUGGGAGGAACGAGGAGGGGACGGGUGAGGAGGAGGAAGAGGAGGAGACAUGAGGGUUAGGAGGAGCACAUCCUGAGUUUGUGAGGCUUCACUGACCUCUGGCCUCACAAACACACACAGGCCUGAGCUCCGGAUAUUUCUCCUGUUCUGGAGACAGUGAGAAGUGAAAGAGAAAUGGCUGCCCCUGCACCACUUACCGCGAAGGAGGCUCAAGGCUGGGGGGCCCCUCUGCCUUCCAGUGACCGCCCGUGUCACAUCCUGACCCGCUCAGCAGGAGAGACGGCCAGAGGCAUGGAUGCACGCUGACUCGUGGACGGCCGCUGUUUGACGAGACCAUCAAGGAGGGAGGAGCACCCGUGGAAAGGCGUGGCAGGGUGGUCGGGGCAGAGGUGUACAUCAGCCUAUCCAAUGCUCACGGCUGGAGGACGCCGCGCCCUGUGAAUGCUCACUGAGGACCAUCCCGGGCACUGGGGCUCUCCAUGUGAGAAUGGACAAUAUGCUGCCUUCCCAGCUGCCCCAUCCUUCCUGCGAGAGCUUGGGGAUGGGUGGCCACAGUGGCACUGGGGAGAACACGAGGGCUCCCCAGCAAGCGUUUUCUCUCAUGGAGGUGGCUCUGGUCACAGCGUCACUGCAGGGCGCAGCCACGGUGGCGGCCAAUGGAAACUGGGCUCUUCUUUUUCUUUUUUUUUUUGAGACAGAGUCUCGCUCUGUCACCCAGGCUGGAGUACAAUGGCAGGAUCUCGGCUCACUGCAACAUCCACCUCCCGGGUUCAAGUGAUUCUCCUGCCUCAGCCUCCUGAGUAGCUGGGAUUACAGGUGCCAGCCACCACGCCCGGCUAAUUUUUGUAUUUUUAGUAGAGACAGGGUUUCACCAUGUUGGUCAGGCUGUCUCGAACUCCUGACCUCGUGAUCUGCCCGCCUUGGCCUUCUCAAAGUGCUGGGAUUACAGACAUGAGCCACCGCGCCCGGCCAAAACUGGGCUUUUCUACGGUGGGGAGAGCAGAGCUAUUCUCUCUGGGGUGGGUGCUUGUCUGGGACUUGUCACCAUCCCUUACUCCAGGGCUGUCUUCAGCACUGUCGCCCACAGUCUUUCCGAACGCCUUAUUCAGAUGUUAUAAUUUCCCACACGAUGUUCCUGACCAAGAAACGCAUUUUACAGCAAAGGGGUGAGGAACGGAUCUGUGGCCAUAGGAUCCCAGAGCCGUGUCCCCGCCACUCAGGAGCAGGCGACCUGAGCAGAAGGGCUUGGCGCUGGUGGGCAGUGGGAGCCCUGCCAUGGGCGGCCCGAGGGGUGGUGGGAUCCCCGCCGUGGGCAACCCCGGGGGCGGUGGGAGCCACGCUGUGGGUGGGCUGGAGGCCCUACUGGGUGUGCUACCGGAAGGGAGGUCCUGACUGUGAGUCCAUGUUCCUGGCAUGUUGAACAAAGAAUUGAGCAAAACUCACAAAACGACAAAUAACAGAGUAAUGAAAGCGCAGAUCCUUUGCAGUGAACAUGCACUCCACAAGGGGGGACGGGACUCCAGCAAGUGCUCCGGAGCCCCCAUUAGGGUUUGUAUUGGGCUAAAAGAAUUUGGUAACACCCCCAGGUGCCCUUUCCAGGUCUCUGAUUGGCUGCAUCCUAUGAAGACUGGCCUGCGGCCAAUCAGAGGCUGAGGUGGAGACUCCUGUCUUGUUUUCCCAGGAAGGAGGCUGCGGCCUGUGUGCCGCCCAAUCCAGCCAGGAACCGGUGGCACCUGCUGCCCUCCGGCUUCUGCCUUAGCCCUCGGUGACCCCAUUCCCUGUUCUCCUGCCUCAGGUGCAGGGCGAUGGUUCUCAGUCAACGCUGGGGCCAGAGCCGGGGCUGGGGCCGCUCGUUCUGCACAGGUCCCGGGAGUGGCGGUGAGCAAUGCUCUCGCUCUCAGCGACCCACGUGCAAAGCGCUCCCUGCGCCCCCGACCCCGCAGCUUUGGGCUCUGCUGACUUCAAGGCUUCAUUCUUCCUCCAGGAGAACACAGCAGGUCCCUCCGACCGCAGUCGGCCUCUCCAGCCUGCCAUGCCUCUGGCCAUGAGGCGACCCGCUGGAGUGAUGGAUUCCCGUCACUACCACCCACAGGGCGAGGGGGUGCAUUGGUCUGCUUGGGCCGCUGUAACAAAAUGCCACAGCCUGGAUGAGUGACUGACAUUGCUUCCCCACCGUUCUGGAGGCUGGAGGCCCGAGAUCGAGGUCCCUGACACUAUUUCAGUGAUGCCAGAGCCCAGGAGGAGUCGACCAAGCCCCAGCGUGGCCAUAAGCACCUUCGCAGGACCACGGAGUCGCUGCAGGUGUUCAGCCCUGUUGAGAGUGGGAGUCGGUGUCGAUGGUCACAGCUCAGUAACUCAUCGUCACCAGCGAGUACCACAGAGCAGACACAACUGCACUUCUCUGUAGAGCCUCCAGUCGAUACUGAGAGCCACUGGGGCGUCUGACACCCAAGGGUGCAGACAUUCACUCCAAGUCCAGAGACCGCGCCCUUUCUAAGGCCCUGUCUCACAGUCGCCCCGUGCUCAUUGUGCCGGAUGUUUCCACAGCCACAGAGACGGUGCGUGAAGGUGAGGUGCAGCCUAGUGCAUAUGACUGACAGAAACGUGAAGCCACAGUGGACGCCUGGAUGAGACACAGAUCACCUUCCAAAUCUGAGUGUGGCCUUGGGACCAACCAGGCAGCCAGGGAGAAGGCAGAGACCAGAGGGAACCCAGGUGCCCUCAAUCCCAGCCUCCUCUAUCCCAGCCUCCCAAUCCCAGCCUCCCCAAUCCCAGCCUCCUAAUCCCAGCCUCCUCCAUCCCAGGACCCCCACUCCCAGCCUCCCGAUCCCAGCUUCUCUGAUCCCAGCCUCCCCUAAAACCCAGACUCUAUGAAUCCCAGCCUCUGAGGUGGGAACUGUUAGUAACCCCACUCCAUGGACAAGAAAGCUGGGGCCUGGCGAGGCUAACAGACUAUCCUGAUGGUGUGAGGGAGGGAUCGGCCUCUGAGGGCUGCUUCCACCCAUCUCACCAGUGGCUGCAGGCUCCAGGCGCCACUUUCCUUGAGUCUAUGUUCUUUCCAAGCAUCCUGCAGCUCCAGAAGCUCUGGAGCCGCCAGCACUGAGAGAAGCGAUGGAGCUGCAUGCAGGGAAACUUUGUUGACAGCGGUGUCUGGAUGGACCAGCAGAGGGCACUCUCACCCACGGGGAAAAUCGUGCGCCCGGCCUCGUCCACCGCCAGAAGACGCCGCUACACAGUGAGUCAUUCCACAAAUCCCUGCUCUCACGGGAUCUCUGGAGAUAAAGGCAGUUGAGAAUCGACAAAUAGGACUGUUUCUCCGUUUAUGAAAUUUGAGCUGCCCUUAGACUUCACGGCAGAGAAUAUAGAGACAGUAAACCCUGGGGUUGAAGAUGGGACCACGAACCUGGGGCCACCUUCUAGGGACGGGUGCUUCGUGUGGGGCAUCCCGGGGAGGGGGUGCCCUGGAGCCUGAGUCAGUGCCAGGCACCUUGAGUCUAACGCUCUCAGUGCAGUUGCCUCCUUUGAAAAAUAAAAGGCUUGGACAAAAUAAGCUCCAAAGUCUCGUUCCGGUUUGAAAUUUUUAACAAGCAGAACGAGUUCCAGUGUCACCGAGGACCUUUUGGAAAUGACUUUCAGCCUCUGCCUCAGUCUCGGCAUCAGUCUGCUGGGGAGGGACUGGGGGUGCUUCAGGGAGAGGGCAGCCCCCCAGCAGAGGGAGGGGAAGCAGCCCAGGGACACCCCUUGGAGGGGCCUGAGGUGGGAGAUGGCACCAGCAGUGCCCCAGUGCCCACGGUACCCCAGGGGCGGCUCAGCCCCACCUGCGUCCACGUGUGUCCCUGGGCACGGGUGGGACGAGGCCCCUCGGGCUGGGUGGGGCGCUCCCCUCCUGACAGUCUGAAUUGCAUCCUCAAGUACUCAGACCCAGCGAUUUCUCCCCGCUGGGGACAUGGGGCAGCAACACAGGCAUCGCGCUGGGUUUUAUACAAGACACUGACUGCAUUCUGGUCGCCACCCGCCUCACGGUGGAAGAUGAUGUGGAUAUGCUUUCCCAGAGGUGCCUGCGGCCAGGGCCUGUGGAGCCUCCCUACCCUCUGUCCACACCAAGUCCACUGA